UCCAGACUCCUACGGGAGGCAGCAGUGAGGAAUAUUGGUCAAUGGGCGCGUGCCUGAACCAGCCAAGUAGCGUGAAGGAUGACUGCCCUACGGGUUGUAAACUUCUUUUAUAAAGGAAUAAAGUGAGGCACGUGUGCCCUUUUGUAUGUACUUUAUGAAUAAGGAUCGGCUAACUCCGUGCCAGCAGCCGCGGUAAUACGGAGGAUCCGAGCGUUAUCCGGAUUUAUUGGGUUUAAAGGGAGCGUAGAUGGGUUGUUAAGUCAGUUGUGAAAGUUUGCGGCUCAACCGUAAAAUUGCAAUUGGUACUGGCAGUCUUGAGUACAGUUGAGGUAGGCGGAAUUCGUGGUGUAGCGGUGAAAUGCUUAGAUAUCACGAAGAACUCCGAUUGCGAAGGCAGCUUACUAAACUGCCACUGACAUUGAUGCUCGAAAGUGUGGGUAUCAAACAGGAUUAGAUUCCCCCGUAGG
This 467-nucleotide ribosomal RNA is filed under the name uncultured bacterium. RNAcentral's name for it is "bacterial SSU rRNA". It matches the Rfam family "Bacterial small subunit ribosomal RNA", at positions 330 to 794 of the family's 1533-position model. The record is from RNAcentral.